GACGAACGCUGGCGGCGUGCCUAAUACAUGCAAGUUGAGCUCUGAAGGUUGGUACUUGUACCGACUGGAUGAGCAGCGAACGGGUGAGUAACGCGUGGGGAAUCUGCCUUUGAGCGGGGGACAACAUUUGGAAACGAAUGCUAAUACCGCAUAAAAACUUUAAACACAAGUUUUAAGUUUGAAAGAUGCAAUUGCAUCACUCAAAGAUGAUCCCGCGUUGUAUUAGCUAGUUGGUGAGGUAAAGGCUCACCAAGGCGAUGAUACAUAGCCGACCUGAGAGGGUGAUCGGCCACAUUGGGACUGAGACACGGCCCAAACUCCUACGGGAGGCAGCAGUAGGGAAUCUUCGGCAAUGGACGAAAGUCUGACCGAGCAACGCCGCGUGAGUGAAGAAGGUUUUCGGAUCGUAAAACUCUGUUGGUAGAGAAGAACGUUGGUGAGAGUGGAAAGCUCAUCAAGUGACGGUAACUACCCAGAAAGGGACGGCUAACUACGUG
RNAcentral lists this ribosomal RNA (497 nucleotides) under uncultured bacterium. RNAcentral describes it as "partial 16S ribosomal RNA". It matches the Rfam family "Bacterial small subunit ribosomal RNA", at positions 28 to 507 of the family's 1533-position model. The record is from RNAcentral.